GCUAAAUAUUUGGUUGUGGAACAAGCAGAAAGCAUGUUGGGCUCGGAAUCUUUCGAAUUCCAUCUGGCAAAGACGAAUUAUCAACUAGAGCUCGAGAGGCUUGGGUUAGGAAACAUAAUUACAAAGAAUCGACAUAUGGACAAAAGUUUACGUCGCCAGAUCGAUAUUAAAGGCGAGCUGCAUGUUUUCGAGCAUAGAAACAUCCCAAGAUUGAAAUACAUUGAUUGUCGUACGUGUAUUCUUAUUUUUUUCGUAAGCAAUGAGUUAAAACUGUGCGAAAGAGGCAAUAACGUGAGAACAACUUAUAUCUACCAGGGCAAAACCAGGCAGUAAUAAUGCACCUAUCAAUGUUAAGCCCCCAGGGGGGGAGGCCGGG
Molecule: non-coding RNA, 376 nt
Organism: Paramuricea clavata
Lineage: Eukaryota; Metazoa; Cnidaria; Anthozoa; Malacalcyonacea; Plexauridae
Source: the annotation of a GenBank genome assembly